AUAAAGAGUCAGAAGCUUGUAGAAUGUGUUGUAAGAUGUUUCGUUAUUGUGCAUUUGUUUUAAUGGUCUUUUUGGUGUUUGUAAACCAAGGGUUUGGCGGUGAAUAUGAAGAGUGCAUUCGAAUGAGUGCGUGCCACUUACGACCAUUCCUUUCCGGGCCGUCUUGCUACGAGGGAUGUGACAAGUUCCUGCGGAAAAGUUAAACACUAACUAAAUAAAAUAAACUAUUUCCUUUUUCGAGGAACUAAUAAAAAACUAGUUUCGA
This is a long non-coding RNA of Photinus pyralis (common eastern firefly), 265 nucleotides long. RefSeq lists it as uncharacterized. The record is from RefSeq and is a predicted model, not a curated record. NCBI's taxonomy places the organism in Eukaryota, Metazoa, Arthropoda, Insecta, Coleoptera, Lampyridae. The transcript has 2 exons.